This 460-nucleotide ribosomal RNA is filed under the name uncultured bacterium. RNAcentral describes it as "partial 16S ribosomal RNA". It matches the Rfam family "Bacterial small subunit ribosomal RNA", at positions 338 to 795 of the family's 1533-position model. The record is from RNAcentral.
CCUACGGGUGGCAGCAGUGAGGAAUAUUGGUCAAUGGGCUUAAGCCUGAACCAGCCAAGUCGCGUGAGGGAAGACUGCCCUAUGGGUUGUAAACCUCUUUUGUCAGGGAGUAAUUGGCGCUACGUGUAGCGUUAUCGAGAGUACCUGAAGAAAAAGCAUCGGCUAACUCCGUGCCAGCAGCCGCGGUAAUACGGAGGAUGCGAGCGUUAUCCGGAUUUAUUGGGUUUAAAGGGUGCGUAGGCGGAAUGCCAAGUCAGCGGUAAAAUCGCGGGGCUCAACCUCGCUCCGCCGUUGAAACUGGCGGUCUUGAGUGGGCGAGAAGUAUGCGGAAUGCGUGGUGUAGCGGUGAAAUGCAUAGAUAUCACGCAGAACUCCGAUUGCGAAGGCAGCAUACCGGCGCCCAACUGACGCUGAAGCACGAAAGCGUGGGUAUCGAACAGGAUUAGAUACCCGUGUAGUC